RNAcentral lists this ribosomal RNA (506 nucleotides) under uncultured bacterium. RNAcentral describes it as "partial 16S ribosomal RNA". It matches the Rfam family "Bacterial small subunit ribosomal RNA", at positions 29 to 523 of the family's 1533-position model. The record is from RNAcentral.
AGUGAACGCUGGCGGUAGGCCUAACACAUGCAAGUCGAACGGCAGCACAGGAGAGCUUGCUCUCUGGGUGGCGAGUGGCGGACGGGUGAGGAAUACAUCGGAAUCUACUCUGUCGUGGGGGAUAACGUAGGGAAACUUACGCUAAUACCGCAUACGACCUACGGGUGAAAGCAGGGGACCUACGGGCCUUGCGCGAUUGAAUGAGCCGAUGACGGAUUAGCUAGUUGGCGGGGUAAAGGCCCACCAAGGCGACGAUCCGUAGCUGGUCUGAGAGGAUGAUCAGCCACACUGGAACUGAGACACGGUCCAGACUCCUACGGGAGGCAGCAGUGGGGAAUAUUGGACAAUGGGCGCAAGCCUGAUCCAGCCAUACCGCGUGGGUGAAGAAGGCCUUCGGGUUGUAAAGCCCCUUUGUUGGGAAAGAAAUCCAGCUGGCUAAUACCCGGUUGGGAUGACGGUACCCAAAGAAUAAGCACCGGCUAACUUCGUGCCAGCCGCCGCAGUAA